Long non-coding RNA from Bos indicus x Bos taurus (hybrid cattle), 2943 nucleotides. The record is from Ensembl. NCBI's taxonomy places the organism in Eukaryota, Metazoa, Chordata, Mammalia, Artiodactyla, Bovidae.
GCCUUGCAUUUAAUAACCCUCUAGGGCUAAGACAGCUUUGUGUGUAAGUCCACUCGGUGCCAUAUGGCAGUUUCCAAUUCCUUUAGCAACUCAAUUCUAGCUAGACUGCCCGCAAUGAUUCAUUCUUAAAGGAAGACCCCUUGGGGCUCAGUAAUGCCCCCUCCACUUACCUAGCUCCCACCGACCCCGCUCGGCAGGCGGCUCGGGCUCCACAAAGAGCUGUGGGAUUCCCCGCUCCCUCCGGGGCUCCUCUCCCCGCGACGGUCCCCUUCGCCAAUGAUCUGUCGCUGGAAAUCCCCCUCCCCUCCACGGAGAGGAGGGUCUCCCCGGCUGGCUGGAGCUCUUGCCUUUUUUUUUUUUUCCACCCUCUCUUUACAUGCCUGACUCUGGUUCACGAUCUCUAGUAGGAAGGCUCAACGGAGAGGCGGCGGGAGGAAGGAAGCUAAGGCAUCCUUAAAAAGAACAAUAAUCUUCAGAGAUCUUCACCCCCUUCCCCAUCGCGGGUCCCCAUUCCCCUGCCGCCGCCGGCGGCGCCCAGACCAGAGAGGGCUGGGAUAGAAAAGGAAAAAAAAUCGAGCCGGGCUCAGCUCGCCGCGCGGAAGGAGCCGGGAAGGCGAGCGGCUCCAGCCGGGGGAGUUGUCGCUCGCUCGGGCUGCCCGCGGCGCGGCGGCCGGCGGGGGCGCAGGGCGGUGGGUGCUUGGUGGGUGUGUGUCUGUGGCGGAGCCGGGGAGAGGCUGGGCGCGGGAGGCGAGGCGGGGCGCUCGGGGGCGCCAGCUCGGGCGCGCACACCCGCCCGCGGCCACCCCGCCUCGCGCUCCGCCUCCUCCCGCGCUCCGCGCGCCCGCGGACUGGAGCGGCGGCCGUCGCCGCCGCCGCCUUCUCCUCCUCUUCCUGGGCGCCCGCAGCUCUCGAGAGAACUGUGCCAAGUUCCUCCUUGGAGAGGCAGCCAGAUGGACACCCAGAACUUUCCGUAUCUUCGUGUCGAGACUGCAACUCUAUACAGAAAAGAAAAAGGCAAAUGCACCUCACAGAGAACUGGGACACUGUGAAUCAUCUACUUUUGAAUUCUUACAAUUGGAAAUUAGAAACUUAUGAAGGAUUUGUAGCUAUGCUUGGGAAAUAGUGAAUUUAAAUCUAUCUGUCCGUCUAUGUGCUGUGCUUGGUCGUUCAGUCAUGUCUGACUCUUUGAGGCCCCGUGAACUGUAGCCCACUAGGUUCCUCUGCCCAUGGAAUUUCCCAGGCAAGAAUACUGGAGACGGAGGAUCUUCCCGACUCAGGAAUCUAACCUGCAUCUUUUGCAUCUCCUGCAUUGGCAGGCAGAUUCUUUACCACCAGUGCCACCUGGUAGGCAUAUUUUCUAUGGCACUGUCCCAUUAAUUUAUUUAUUUGUAUAGUCAGUCAGUCAUUCUGGAAUAUUUUGAGCCUCUACUGUAUGCCAGGUUCUAUUGCUGUUCAUGGAUAAUGCAAAAGUGGGCAUGUUGGACAUGAUUUAUGUAUGCACAAAGUUUACAUUCUGGUGAAGGAGCAAACAGCCCACUCUUAAAAAAACACACAGAGAAAACUGUGUAUUAAUAAGCGGUCUGAAGAAAUUAAUAGUUUGAGAAAGAAACUAAGAGAGGGUGACCUAUUUUUGACAGAGGGGUCAGGGAUAGCAUAAGAGUCAUAUCAGAUGAAACUGGAAGUGGAGGAACCAUUCCAGAGAUGGUGGGGAACCAUUCCAGAGAGUAGAGAGGGCCAGUGGUGAUAAGGAGCAACAAGGUAUGGACACCUCUGUGGUGCUUGCUGAUUGGGUGAUGUGAGGUCAACAGAGAUUUAUUGGUUUGCUUUAAGGGAGAUAUUAGAGUCUACAAGUGUGCUGAUGAAAAAUGACCUGAUGGAAAUUGACUGGUGAGGCAAGAGUGUGUGCUUUACCGAGGGAGCAGAGCCCUUCGGAUAGUGAGGAUGUGUGGCUGAGUGGCUGUCAGGGAAUAGGACUUGAUGGGAGGAGAACAUCCACCGAGGAGGAUGCAGAAUGUGAGUUGUGAAGCUCUGGUGGAAGGAAGGGGAGGGGCUCUGUGUCUGAUGGUUUCUCUUUGCUCAGUGAAAUAUGAGAGAAGAUGCAGCUGUGAGAGAGAGUUGUGGGGUUGUGUGAAAGAAACGAGAGAGAUGUGAAGUCACAUGGAGCCUCCCAGAAAACACUGACACUUUUGAUGUGGUUACAUCCCAUCAUUAUAGGACGUUUAGCAAAUUCCCUGGUGGCUCAGGUGGUAAAGAAUCUACUUGCAGUUCAGGAGACCCAGUUCUGUGUCAAAAAGAUCCCCUACAUGGCAACCCAUUCCAGUAUUCUUGUCUGGAGAAUCCCAUGGACAGAGGAGCCUAGUGGGCUACAGUCCAUGGGAUCGCACAGAGGUGGACACAACUGAGCAACUAACACUUUCACACUAGCGAAAUCCUUGACCUGUACCAGGUAGAUACCAGCAAAACUUCCAUUGAGUCAUGGAAACAGAAGGUAUCUCUAGACAUUGACAUAUAUACCCAGGAGGAAAAAACUGCCUGUUUGAGAAUCACUGCCCUAAAGCUACCACCAAAAAAAGAAAGUAUAACUAAUAAGCCAUGGAGAAGAUGAAAUGGCGUAAGAAAUACUGGAUUAGUUCAAAAGAAGGUUGGAAACAAAGGGAAAAAGGAACAAAGAAUAGAUGAAACAAAUAGAAAACAACUGUGAAGAGGAUGGAUUUAAAUCCAAUUAUAGUCAUCAUUAUGCUAAAUUUAGGUGGUCUAAACAUCCUGAUUAAAAGACAAAGAUUAUCAAAUUGAAUCUAAAUGUAAGACUCAAUUAUAUGUGCCUACAGGAAAAUCCAAUAUAAAUAGACAGAUGUAGAUGUUAAAAGAGAAAAGACAGAAACUGUACAUAGCAUGGAAAAACUAAUUAUGAGAAAGCUGGAAUAAAUAUGUUAAUAUGAGACA